Bos taurus (domestic cattle) is the source of this 72-nucleotide non-coding RNA. The record is from Rfam. NCBI's taxonomy places the organism in Eukaryota, Metazoa, Chordata, Mammalia, Artiodactyla, Bovidae.
UCCCAGGUGGCUCAGAUGGUAAAGUGUCUGUCUGCAGUGCGGGAGACCCAGGUUCGAUCCCUGGGUCGGGAA